CAGAGUUGGUGUCAUGUGGGGCCGUCAUUAUAGCCGCCGGCCCCAUAGACAAGGAGCAGCCAGUGCCUCCCCCAAGGUUGCGCAUGGCCUGGCACAGCCCGAGGAGACUGGCCUGGCUGAAGAGGCCUGAGUUAUGAAGGCAUUUAAGGAGAAGAUGAGGAGAUUAAGGAGGUAACAGCUAGCUGGUAGUUAAUAGCUGAGGGAAGUAAUUGCUGGCUCCAGUAACUAGGUGCUGGGCGCAGCAGCUGGGAGCUGAGCUCCUAUAUAUGUAACCCUGAACUCAGUUGAAUGAAUUAAGCAAUGAAGUGAUUAUCUCUAACCUCUCAUCUCCUGCUACCUCUAAUCUCACCCCCCUGCUGCCAGGCGCCAGGCACACCCUGGCGCCCCCAUCUCCUACCUCUAGCUACAACCUGCGCAGCCAAGGCCCUCCUGAGCUAGGUGUGGAGGCCCUUGACAACUUGGUAUCAGGAUUCCGGCGAUCCUCCGGCCACCAGUCCUCUUCCUCCACUGCGCCCUCCCAUCCUGCUGCUGAUACCUCACCCACCCACUCCACCGCUUCCACUGCGCCACCCAUGGCUGAACCUACCAUCUCCGACUUAGCCAAGAUGCUUGGGGACCUUACCAAGAGCAUGGUGACUAUGCAGCAGCAGAUCGUCACGCUACAGCAAGCCCAGCUACCACCAUCAUCUUCCAAUGGCUCCCGUGGGUCUGGUUUCGGUGACCACCAUGGUGAGCGACCGCCGCGGUUCCAGAAAUUGGAUUUCCCCAAGUUCGACGGGAAAUCCGAUCCUCUGGCCUUCAUCAACCGCUGCGAAUCUUACUUCGUCCAACAACGCAUCGCUGCCGAGGAGCAGGUCUGGAUGGCGUCAUACAACCUUGAAGGUGGCGCCCAACUCUGGUACAUCCAGGUGCAGCAGACCGAGGGCACGCCGUCUUGGCGCCGCUUCACCGAGCUCAUCAACCUCCGCUAUGGUCCGCCGCUCCGCUCCAACCCCAUGGGCGAACUGAUGGAGUGCAAGCACACAGGAUCGGUGGCGGAGUAUCAAGACCGCUUCGAGGCGCUGUUGCCAAGGGUCGGGCCACUUGAGGAAAGCCAGCGUGUCCAGGCCUUCACGGCAGGCCUGGGUCCACCACUCAGCCAUGAUGUGGAAAUGCAGAACCCCCAGACUUUGCUCGUGGCCAUGAGUCUGGCCCGCAAGCUGGAGUUGCGCGAGCAGAGCGUCGCCCGCGUCGCGGCCACGGCUCCGCCACGCCUCGCGGGACGUGGCCUACUGCAGGGGCCACAACAGCCCUUGGCGCUGCCCGCUCCCCCAGCCCACGCUACUCCAACCCCAUCGUUCGAAGGCCGCCAAGUUCGCCGGCUGUCGCCGGCUGACAUGGACGAUCGCCGACGCCAGGGCCUGUGUUUCAACUGCAAUGAAAAGUAUACACGCGGCCAUAAUCGCGUCUGUCAACGCCUAUUUUUCCUUGACAUCGCAGAAACCGACGACCAGGAGGACGACGUCGAGGCUGCUCUGGCUGCCGUGAACAUGGACAAGCCGCUGAUCUCACUCAGCGCGAUCGCCGGCAUCCGCACGAGCGAGACGAUGCAGAUCCGCAUCAACCUGGGCGGAGCGUCUCUGCUGGCGCUGCUGGACUCAGGCAGCACGCACAAUUUCGUCGCGGUCGACGCUGCAGGCCGGACCAACCUCCGGCUCAGGCUCCGCAGCGGCCUGAAGGUCACCGUGGCGAACGGCGAAAGGGUACCGAGCCCAGGCGUGUACCGCGCAGCCACCUUCUCCAUCGACGACGCCUCUUUCUCCACCGACUUCUAUGCCCUUCCGCUCGCCGGCUAUGACGUGGUGCUGGGCAACCAAUGGCUGGCAACGUUGGGCCCAAUCCUGUGGGAUUUUGGUGCCCUCACCAUGUCCUUCUGGCACCAGGGACGCCAGGUGUGCUGGAAGGGCGUGGCCAGUACCCCCAGCCCAAGACUGAAGGCAUGCAACGGCUCUGAUAUCAUGACAGCCCUGCUGGAAGAAUUCUCCUCCGUCUUCUCCGAGCCCACUGGCAUGCCCCCACCGCGCUCCAGGGAGCACUCCAUCAACCUCGUCCCUGGCUCUCCUCCAGUGGCGGUCCGGCCCUACCGCUACCCCGCCUCACACAAGGAUGAGUUGGAGCGCCAAUGCUCCGACAUGCUGGCCCAAGGGCUGAUCAGGCACAGCACCUCUGCAUUUUCCUCUCCGGUCCUGCUCGUGAAGAAAGCCGACGGGUCAUGGAGGUUUUGCGUGGACUACCGCGCCCUUAACGCCAUUACUAUCAAAGACGCCUACCCCAUCCCCAUCGUCGACGAGCUCUUGGAUGAGCUGCACGGUGCCCAGUUCUUCACCAAGCUGGACCUUCGUUCCGGGUACCACCAAGUUCGAAUGAACAUCGCCGACAUCGAAAAGACGGCGUUCCGUAAACAUGACGGCCUGUACAAGUUCCUGGUCAUGCCGUUUGGCCUCUGCAAUGCCCCGGCAACGUUCCAGGCCCUCAUGAACGAUGUGUUGCGGCCGUUCCUCCGCCGCUUCGUCCUCGUUUUCUUCGACGACAUACUUAUCUACAGCAGCUCCUUCGCCGAACACCUUCAGCACAUGCGUGCAGUCCUCACCACCCUACAACAGCACCAUCUCUUCGUCAAGAGGUCCAAAUGCGACUUUGGGGCCUCCAACAUCUCCUACCUUGGGCACGUCAUUUCAGCCCAAGGCGUCGCCAUGGACCCCGAGAAAGUGCAAGCAGUAGCGGACUGGCCCCAACCAAGAUCAGCACGGGCAGUGCGCGGGUUCUUGGGACUUGCUGGCUACUACCGCAAGUUUGUGAAGGAAUUCGGCACCAUUGCUGCCCCGCUGACCGCUUUACUCAAAAAGGAAGGAUUCACUUGGUCACCUGAGGCGGAAGCGGCUUUCACAGCCCUCAAGACCGCCAUCACAACGGCCCCCGUUCUGGUCCUGCCCAACUUCAACCACCUGUUCGUUGUGGAAUGCGACGCCUCAACCUACGGGUUUGGCGCAGUGCUGCUCCAGGACCAGCACCCGGUGGCUUUCUUCAGCCGCCCUGCUGCACCGCGUCAUCGCUCUCUGGCGGCCUACGAGCGUGAACUGAUCGGCCUCGUCUUGGCCAUCCGCCAUUGGAGGCCAUAUCUAUGGGGUCGUCCCUUCCUGGUGAGAACUGACCACUACAGUCUAAAAUUCUUGCUGGACCAGCGGCUGUCCACCAUUCCCCAGCAUCACUGGGUGGGCAAGCUCCUAGGAUUCGACUUCACGGUGGAAUACAAGGCUGGCAGCGCCAACACAGUGGCUGAUGCCCUCUCCCGCCGCGACACAGAAGAGGCGGCUGUCCUGGCCAUCUCAGGCCCCCGCUUCGACUUCAUCAGCCGCCUUCGCCAAGCUAAUCAGCAAGAUCCGGCGUUGGUCGCCCUCCAGCAGGAAAUCAGUUCUGCCCAGCACACUGCUCACUGGGCCAUCACCGAUGGCCUGGUCACAUUCAAGGGCCGACUUUACCUGCCUCCAGGCGCCCCACUCCUUCAGGAGCUCAUCACUGCUGUCCAUGAGGACGGACACGAGGGCGUCCAGCGCACACUCCACCGGCUCCAACGCGACAUCCAUGCGCCUAACCUCAGGGCGCUUGUCCAGGACUUUGUCCGGACCUGUGCCACAUGUCAGCGCUACAAGACAGAGCAUUUGCACCCGGCUGGCUUACUCCUUCCCCUGCCGGUGCCAUCCUCAAUCUGGACUGACAUAGGCAUGGACUUCAUCGAAGCAUUGCCAAAAGUGGGCGGCAAGACAGUAAUUCUCACUGUGGUGGAUCGUUUCAGCAAAUACUGCCAUUUUAUUCCGCUGGCUCACCCCUACUCAGCGGAAUCAGUGGCUCAAGCUUUCUUCUCCGAAAUUGUGCGCCUGCAUGGUGUGCCACAAUCCAUAGUCUCUGAUCGAGAUCCGGUCUUUACCUCACUGUUUUGGAAGGAAUUGAUGCGACUUGCAGGGAUCAAGCUGCACAUGACUACAGCCUUUCAUCCGCAGUCUGAUGGACAGACAGAGGCCGCCAACAAGGUCAUUGUCAUGUACCUUCGCUGCAUGACUGGAGAUCGCCCCAAGCAGUGGCUGCGCUGCUUACCUUGGGCAGAAUUCAUCUACAAUACUGCAUACCAGUCUGCACUAAAGACAACACCAUUCCAGAUCGUGUAUGGGCGUGAGCCACCAUCCAUCCGCUCCUAUGAGCCAGGGGAAACUCGCGUGGCAGCAGUGGCCAAGACCAUGGCAGAACGAGACGAGCUCCUGGCUGAUGCCCGGGCACGGCUGGAACAAGCACAAGCCGUGUACAAGCGCUCCUACGACAAACACCACCGCGACGUUCGCUUCAGCGUGGGCGAUUGGGUAUGGCUCCGCCUUCGACACCGCACUCCGGCUUCACUGCCAGACACCACGAAGGGCAAGCUGCGUCCUCGCUUCUACAGACCAUACCGCAUCACCGCCGCCAUCAACGAAGUCGCCUACCGCCUCGAGCUACCUCCCCGCGCCCGACUCCACGACGUCUUCCACGUCGGGCUGCUCAAGAAAUUCGUUGGCACUCCCCCAGCUUCGCCACCGGCCCUGCCUCCCAUUCACAAUGGUGCCAGUCAACCAGUACCAGAGCGCGCUACGCGCACACGCCUCGCCAGGGGCGUCCGUCAGAUCCUGAUCCACUGGCAAGGCGAACCAGCAGCUUCAGCGACAUGGGAAGACCUCGACAGCUUUCAAGCCCGAUACCCCACCUUCCAGCUCGAGGACGAGGACGAGCUGCUCGUCGAGGGGGGGAGAGAUGUCAUGUGGGGCCAUCAUUAUAGCCGCCGGCCCCAUAGACAAGGAGCAGCCAGUGCCUCCCCCAAGGUUGCGCAUGGCCUGGCACAGCCCGAGGAGACUGGCCUGGCUGAAGAGGCCUGAGUUAUGAAGGCAUUUAAGGAGAAGAUGAGGAGAUUAAGGAGGUAACAGCUAGCUGGUAGUUAAUAGCUGAGGGAAGUAAUUGCUGGCUCCAGUAACUAGGUGCUGGGCGCAGCAGCUGGGAGCUGAGCUCCUAUAUAUGUAACCCUGAACUC
This 5089-nucleotide long non-coding RNA is filed under the name Sorghum bicolor (sorghum). Its description in RNAcentral is "long non-coding RNA (SBIC_LNC006397)". The record is from RNAcentral. Lineage: Eukaryota; Viridiplantae; Streptophyta; Magnoliopsida; Poales; Poaceae.